AUGGCGGUGGGCCGUGCGUUCGAGGCGCAGCUCUGUGUGCCGCCGCACCAUCUGCGGGUGACGGCGCACAACCCGGAGGACUUCUUCAUCAUCUUCACCCAGCCUGCCCACCAAGACAAUGUUGUGCGCCGCGGCACCCUGCGCGUCGACGGUGUCAACUUCGGCAUCACGCCGUGGAGAGAGAACGACCACGCCGGCCAUGGCACCUUCAACCUCCACGUCCGCUGCGUCAUCGAGCACCUGCCGCAGCAGUACUGGUCCCUGGAAGAAGUCCAGGAGGUGUUCGGCGACAAGGUGCGCGUCGACCACCUCGACAGCCGCACGCUGGAGUGCGACCACACCAAGCACCUCGCCUGCUGGGUGUGGGUCUGGGACAUGGCCUUCAUCCCCACCAGGCACACCUACUGGAAGCUUACCCAGGGUGCUGGCCGCGUCGAGGAGAUGGAGGGCUACUCGCCACCGGACCGGUGGGUCGCCCUGCCGCCCGGCGCCGAGCGCUUCGAUAUGCUCAUCCACGUCGACAGGGUGGAGGACUGGUCCCCCUGCGCGCCGCGCUCCUCGCACUCCGCUCAGAGCGGUCUGCCCUCCUUCGGCCCUGACCACGACGACGACCUGCCGCGCACCUACCCAGGCUCCUGGAUUCUGCACGUCAAGGACGGCCAGCCUGAGGAGCGGCACCGCCGUCAGCAGCGCGCGCCGGUGGUUGACUCGGGCUAUCGGGGGUCUCCCUCGUGGUGA
Molecule: ribosomal RNA, 738 nt
Filed under: Triticum aestivum (bread wheat)
Lineage: Eukaryota; Viridiplantae; Streptophyta; Magnoliopsida; Poales; Poaceae
Description: partial small subunit ribosomal RNA
Source: RNAcentral